UGAAAAACAGAGGUGAGAUGGCCCAGGGUGU
This 31-nucleotide non-coding RNA is filed under the name Rattus norvegicus (Norway rat). Lineage: Eukaryota; Metazoa; Chordata; Mammalia; Rodentia; Muridae. The record is from RNAcentral.